RNAcentral lists this ribosomal RNA (1395 nucleotides) under Klebsiella pneumoniae. Its description in RNAcentral is "bacterial SSU rRNA". It matches the Rfam family "Bacterial small subunit ribosomal RNA". The record is from RNAcentral. Lineage: Bacteria; Pseudomonadati; Pseudomonadota; Gammaproteobacteria; Enterobacterales; Enterobacteriaceae.
GUCGAGCGGUAGCACAGAGAGCUUGCUCUCGGGUGACGAGCGGCGGACGGGUGAGUAAUGUCUGGGAAACUGCCUGAUGGAGGGGGAUAACUACUGGAAACGGUAGCUAAUACCGCAUAACGUCGCAAGACCAAAGUGGGGGACCUUCGGGCCUCAUGCCAUCAGAUGUGCCCAGAUGGGAUUAGCUAGUAGGUGGGGUAACGGCUCACCUAGGCGACGAUCCCUAGCUGGUCUGAGAGGAUGACCAGCCACACUGGAACUGAGACACGGUCCAGACUCCUACGGGAGGCAGCAGUGGGGAAUAUUGCACAAUGGGCGCAAGCCUGAUGCAGCCAUGCCGCGUGUGUGAAGAAGGCCUUCGGGUUGUAAAGCACUUUCAGCGGGGAGGAAGGCGUUAAGGUUAAUAACCUUGUCGAUUGACGUUACCCGCAGAAGAAGCACCGGCUAACUCCGUGCCAGCAGCCGCGGUAAUACGGAGGGUGCAAGCGUUAAUCGGAAUUACUGGGCGUAAAGCGCACGCAGGCGGUCUGUCAAGUCGGAUGUGAAAUCCCCGGGCUCAACCUGGGAACUGCAUUCGAAACUGGCAGGCUAGAGUCUUGUAGAGGGGGGUAGAAUUCCAGGUGUAGCGGUGAAAUGCGUAGAGAUCUGGAGGAAUACCGGUGGCGAAGGCGGCCCCCUGGACAAAGACUGACGCUCAGGUGCGAAAGCGUGGGGAGCAAACAGGAUUAGAUACCCUGGUAGUCCACGCCGUAAACGAUGUCGAUUUGGAGGUUGUGCCCUUGAGGCGUGGCUUCCGGAGCUAACGCGUUAAAUCGACCGCCUGGGGAGUACGGCCGCAAGGUUAAAACUCAAAUGAAUUGACGGGGGCCCGCACAAGCGGUGGAGCAUGUGGUUUAAUUCGAUGCAACGCGAAGAACCUUACCUGGUCUUGACAUCCACAGAACUUUCCAGAGAUGGAUUGGUGCCUUCGGGAACUGUGAGACAGGUGCUGCAUGGCUGUCGUCAGCUCGUGUUGUGAAAUGUUGGGUUAAGUCCCGCAACGAGCGCAACCCUUAUCCUUUGUUGCCAGCGGUUAGGCCGGGAACUCAAAGGAGACUGCCAGUGAUAAACUGGAGGAAGGUGGGGAUGACGUCAAGUCAUCAUGGCCCUUACGACCAGGGCUACACACGUGCUACAAUGGCAUAUACAAAGAGAAGCGACCUCGCGAGAGCAAGCGGACCUCAUAAAGUAUGUCGUAGUCCGGAUUGGAGUCUGCAACUCGACUCCAUGAAGUCGGAAUCGCUAGUAAUCGUAGAUCAGAAUGCUACGGUGAAUACGUUCCCGGGCCUUGUACACACCGCCCGUCACACCAUGGGAGUGGGUUGCAAAAGAAGUAGGUAGCUUAACCUUCGGGAG